This is a small nuclear RNA of Carcharodon carcharias (great white shark), 164 nucleotides long. RefSeq annotates it as U1 spliceosomal RNA. The transcript has a single exon. Lineage: Eukaryota; Metazoa; Chordata; Chondrichthyes; Lamniformes; Lamnidae. The record is from RefSeq and is a predicted model, not a curated record.
AAACUUACCUGGCAGGGGAGAAACAAUGAUCAUGAAGGUUGUGCUCCCAGGAUGAGACUAUCCCAUUGCACUCCGGGUAUGCUGACGCCUGCGAUGUCCCCAAAUGCGGGAUACUCGACUGCAAAAUUUGUGGUGUUGGAGGACUGCGUUUGUGCUUUCCCCUG